CUUUGGAGAGCCUUUACUCCCUUCAGGGGAAAGGAUCGAGGCCCUUCCGAUGUGGCCUUUUCUUGAGUCUCCAGCCCCAUCUCUUACCACUCCUCCCAACACAGAGGUAUGCACAGACGAUAUGCAAGCACACAGGAGAUCAUCUAAAUGAGACUUGAGCAGAGAGUGAUUAAGGAAGACUUCCUGGAGGAGAUGAGGAAGCCAAGACCCAGUGGUUGAAGUACCUUGCCCAGAGCACACAGUCUUGACAGGCAGUGGAAGCAGAACAGAACCAAGCUGGUUUGGUACCAGUCUGUGAGUUUUCAGCUGUGUGCACUAGUAUAAAAGAUGUGCUUUACCAGUCUGUGAGUUUUCAGUUGUGUGCACUAGUAUAAAAGAUGUGCUUUACCAGUCUGUGAGUUUUCAG
RNAcentral lists this long non-coding RNA (406 nucleotides) under Homo sapiens (human). RNAcentral describes it as "HSALNT0230121". The record is from RNAcentral. Lineage: Eukaryota; Metazoa; Chordata; Mammalia; Primates; Hominidae.